UUCUCUCAUCCAUCUAUUCUACUUUUUGUGCAACAAUCUCUCAAGAACAUCAAGGUAGAAGGGUGGGCAACAUAUGUGUUCAAGAAAAAAAACUAAAAAGAUUGAAGUUAGAGCUUAAAGAUGGAAUGUAUAGGUGUUUGGUGAUGUGAAAAAUAAACAAGGUUGUGUUGUUAAGGAGAUUAGAGACUUGGAUUCUAAAGAUGAGGUAAGACUUAUAACAAAGCAAGAGAAAGAUAUAAGGAAGAAAAUGGUAGAUGAAUUUGGGUGUCUAUCAAGAAGGCAUGAGUCAUUGUAGUAUCAAAAAUCCAUAGUAAGUUAGUUGAGAGAAGGGGAUGAAAACUCCAAGUUUUUUCACAAGGUGGUAAAUUGGCAUAAAAGAACACAUGUUUUGAAGGGGA
Molecule: long non-coding RNA, 398 nt
Filed under: Glycine max (soybean)
Lineage: Eukaryota; Viridiplantae; Streptophyta; Magnoliopsida; Fabales; Fabaceae
Description: long non-coding RNA (GMAX_LNC002169)
Source: RNAcentral